Molecule: ribosomal RNA, 1000 nt
Filed under: Microbacterium sp. HBUM178495
Lineage: Bacteria; Bacillati; Actinomycetota; Actinomycetes; Micrococcales; Microbacteriaceae
Description: bacterial SSU rRNA
Rfam family: Bacterial small subunit ribosomal RNA
Source: RNAcentral
CCGGGGGGGGGUGCUUACCAUGCAAGUCGAACGGUGAAGCAGAGCUUGCUCUGUGGAUCAGUGGCGAACGGGUGAGUAACACGUGAGCAACCUGCCCCGGACUCUGGGAUAAGCGCUGGAAACGGCGUCUAAUACCGGAUACGAGACAAGACGGCAUCGUCAUUGUCUGGAAAGAUUUUUUGGUCUGGGAUGGGCUCGCGGCCUAUCAGCUUGUUGGUGAGGUAAUGGCUCACCAAGGCGUCGACGGGUAGCCGGCCUGAGAGGGUGACCGGCCACACUGGGACUGAGACACGGCCCAGACUCCUACGGGAGGCAGCAGUGGGGAAUAUUGCACAAUGGGCGAAAGCCUGAUGCAGCAACGCCGCGUGAGGGAUGACGGCCUUCGGGUUGUAAACCUCUUUUAGCAGGGAAGAAGCGAAAGUGACGGUACCUGCAGAAAAAGCGCCGGCUAACUACGUGCCAGCAGCCGCGGUAAUACGUAGGGCGCAAGCGUUAUCCGGAAUUAUUGGGCGUAAAGAGCUCGUAGGCGGUUUGUCGCGUCUGCUGUGAAAUCCCGAGGCUCAACCUCGGGCCUGCAGUGGGUACGGGCAGACUAGAGUGCGGUAGGGGAGAUUGGAAUUCCUGGUGUAGCGGUGGAAUGCGCAGAUAUCAGGAGGAACACCGAUGGCGAAGGCAGAUCUCUGGGCCGUAACUGACGCUGAGGAGCGAAAGGGUGGGGAGCAAACAGGCUUAGAUACCCUGGUAGUCCACCCCGUAAACGUUGGGAACUAGUUGUGGGGUCCAUUCCACGGAUUCCGUGACGCAGCUAACGCAUUAAGUUCCCCGCCUGGGGAGUACGGCCGCAAGGCUAAAACUCAAAGGAAUUGACGGGGACCCGCACAAGCGGCGGAGCAUGCGGAUUAAUUCGAUGCAACGCGAAGAACCUUACCAAGGCUUGACAUAUACGAGAACACUUCAGAAAUGAAGGACUCUUUGGACACUCGUAUACAGGUGGUGCAUG